UUUUUUUUCAAUCUGCUUUACUCUCAAUUUUAACCAACAACAAUUAUAUUUUCAAUGGCUAAAAACAUUAAACGAUGUUAUAAUUGUUGUUGGUUUAAAAAUUGAUAGUAAAGCAGAUUGCAACAAAGAAA
RNAcentral lists this microRNA precursor (131 nucleotides) under Dictyostelium discoideum. Its description in RNAcentral is "microRNA ddi-mir-7098 precursor". The record is from miRBase by way of RNAcentral. Lineage: Eukaryota; Evosea; Eumycetozoa; Dictyosteliales; Dictyosteliaceae.